This 440-nucleotide ribosomal RNA is filed under the name uncultured bacterium. RNAcentral describes it as "partial 16S ribosomal RNA". It matches the Rfam family "Bacterial small subunit ribosomal RNA", at positions 338 to 795 of the family's 1533-position model. The record is from RNAcentral.
CCUACGGGGUGCAGCAGUAGGGAAUAUUGCUCAAUGGGGGAAACCCUGAAGCAGCAACGCCGCGUGGAGGAUGACGGUUUUCGGAUUGUAAACUCCUUUUGUUAGAGAAGAUAAUGACGGUAUCUAACGAAUAAGCACCGGCUAACUCCGUGCCAGCAGCCGCGGUAAUACGGAGGGUGCAAGCGUUACUCGGAAUCACUGGGCGUAAAGAGCGCGUAGGCGGGAUAGCAAGUCAGAUGUGAAAUCCUAUGGCUUAACCAUAGAACUGCAUUUGAAACUGUUAUUCUAGAGUAUGGGAGAGGUAGGUGGAAUUCUUGGUGUAGGGGUAAAAUGCGUAGAGAUCAAGAGGAAUACUCAUUGCGAAGGCGACCUGCUAGAACAUAACUGACGCUGAUGCGCGAAAGCGUGGGGAGCAAACAGGAUUAGAUACCCCUGUAGUC